CGUAAGUAUGUUUUAUUCGAGAAAAAUAGGUUGGAAUUUGUGGGCGUUAAGCCAAAAAUAAGUGACCUCCGACUAAUACAAAACCCAAUGGAUUUCAAACAUAGUUUACUGUGUUAGCUGUUAUCUGUGAAGUGGUGUGGAGACCAAUCCUAUUAAAUUUCGAAAUGUUGAGAACGAGGUAUAAUCCUGUAUAUGGCAAUGAAUAUUAUUUAGGCGAUACAAGAUCAAUUCCAGAUUAUAGAAUUCACAGAUCUUACAAUUUUUACGAUUUUUGGCCCUACGUAGUUAAAAUUACCUAUAGGAAUAGACCCUUUAGAAGAUGGCUUACUACACCGACACUUUAUGGACAAAAUUUAUAUUCGAACGAAAGCAUCAUAGUAAAAUCGUCCAGUUCCAGCGUAUCUAAGACAGUUUCUAGAUACAGUUCCUAUUAAGUUUCUAGCAUUUUUGAUUUCCUAAAAUAUAUAUUUGAGUGAACAUACAAUAAUUUAUAUGCAUUGAGUCAUAGAGUUUUAUUUUUGUAAUGUUGGCGAGCGAUAUUUAAAAUAAAGUUGUUUCAGUAAAAUGAGAA
Long non-coding RNA from Anthonomus grandis grandis, 571 nucleotides. RefSeq lists it as uncharacterized. Lineage: Eukaryota; Metazoa; Arthropoda; Insecta; Coleoptera; Curculionidae. The transcript has 3 exons. The record is from RefSeq and is a predicted model, not a curated record.